UACAGAGGUCUCAAGCGUUGUUCGGAUUCAUUGGGCGUAAAGGGCGCGUAGGCGGCGUGGUAAGUCGGGUGUGAAAUCUCGGAGCUUAACUCCGAAACUGCAUUCGAUACUGCCGUGCUUGAGGACUGGAGAGGAGACUGGAAUUUACGGUGUAGCGGUGAAAUGCGUAGAUAUCGUAAGGAAGACCAGUGGCGAAGGCGGGUCUCUGGACAGUUCCUGACGCUGAGGCACGAAGGCCAGGGGAGCAAACGGG
This 253-nucleotide ribosomal RNA is filed under the name uncultured bacterium. RNAcentral describes it as "partial 16S ribosomal RNA". It matches the Rfam family "Bacterial small subunit ribosomal RNA", at positions 524 to 776 of the family's 1533-position model. The record is from RNAcentral.